Diospyros lotus (date-plum) is the source of this 769-nucleotide long non-coding RNA. RefSeq lists it as uncharacterized. Lineage: Eukaryota; Viridiplantae; Streptophyta; Magnoliopsida; Ericales; Ebenaceae. The transcript is spliced from 4 exons. The record is from RefSeq and is a predicted model, not a curated record.
UGACAAAUGGUCCGAGAGCUUCUUCUCAGCCCGAAGAGCAGACCCAGACAAUCACAGGCGGAAGAUAUUUUCGAUGCUUGUGAUGAUUCACAAAGAGAAAACCCAAAACUAUACAUAUAUAUAUCUAUAUAUAUAUAUUUUCUUCAAUCCGUCCUUCUUUCUUGUCUGAAUUUUGCUGAAAUUUCCAUGUCUGUUCGAACGGGGAGGGCACGGUGCAAUUUCCAUUUGUCAGGGUUGUGAUUCUCCCUCGGUCGCGUGGAAAUGAUACCGGUCGGCGAUUCGAUCUGCGAUUGUUUCAAGAAGCCCUAAAUCGGCUUAGGAAUUCUUGCAUCUUUUUCUGAAAGCAGACGGGAUGUGGUCUAGGGCUUUAGAUAGGAAAUGCGUACAAAGGAUGUGUGGACAUUCAUAUGAUUUUUCCUUAUGAUCUUCAAAGCUGCUGAACUGAAGUAGGCCAUAUAUAUAUUCUCCAAGCCUCGUUAGAUUCUGGUCCAGGUUUUUGAUUAGUUUCUUUGUUUAGCCUCCUUAUUUAUUGUCAUUUAACCAAUUGUACAGUUUGUAUUACAUCUCUGUUGCAGUAAAUAUAGUAGUCGGUAUGGGCUAAACUAAUUAAAUCAGCUGCGUAUAAAUACGAGUCUCCUUCGACGUCAUAAAACUAAGUCAUAGUAGAUUAUUGAAUUUUAGGGUAAGUUGGAUGGAUGGAUACUUCUUGUAUUUGUGUCACAAUGUGAUCACUUGCAACUUGGUAAUUCAUAUUUAAUAUUUUUUUAAA